Molecule: long non-coding RNA, 667 nt
Organism: Bombus pyrosoma
Lineage: Eukaryota; Metazoa; Arthropoda; Insecta; Hymenoptera; Apidae
Exons: 3
Source: RefSeq, a predicted model, not a curated record
CUUUUAGUAAGAAGCGAUUAAGACAAUAAAAGUUAAGGCGAAUGAAAACUCACGCGUCAAUAAAUACCGACAGUUAACAAAAUGGCGAACGCAAAAUUGCAGUCCUGCCAAUGAAACAAGUCGCUUUACCGAUUCUACCUUACCCAUAGAACGUGGAGUUAUAGUAACUGACCAAAUCGGAAAGAACAUGGUCGUUUCAAUGAUAUCGACCGACAUUUGUGAUAAAAAAAAUAUAUAGAAAGAUUACCAAACGAGGGAAUCAGAAAUAGCGCUACCUAUAGUCGAUACAAAUAAAUUCAAUGGCGCGAAAAGGUUUUACGUAUUUGAAAACACUUCUAACUUCAAACAACCGUACGCAUACCUGAAAUUUUAGAUACUUUUAAGGAAAAUCACAGUGACAGAUAAAGCUGUUUGUUACGAUGUACUUACGUAACACGAAAAUAGAAAUUGUAAACACUGUAGCAAUGCUAAGCCAACCGAGUGUAGUGCCGCUUUGAAAGUAAAAUUAAUCGUGCGAAACCUAUCAUCGCCGUGAAUCAUAAGAAUCUCGCAAUUACAAUGUCAUAAUGAAAUUGAAUGCGUAAGAGAUGCUCGCUUCGAUAAAAGAUUAAAUCUUUUUUACUUCAUAAGGAAGUGAAUAGAAAAAUAAAUACAAACUUCAAAUAUA